GAUGAACGCUAGCUACAGGCUUAACACAUGCAAGUCGAGGGGAAACGACAUCGAAAGCUUGCUUUUGGUGGGCGUCGACCGGCGCACGGGUGAGUAACGCGUAUCCAACCUGCCCACCACUUGGGGAUAACCUUGCGAAAGUAAGACUAAUACCCAAUGAUAUCUCUAGAAGACAUCUGAAGGAGAUUAAAGAUUCAUCGGUGAUGGAUGGGGAUGCGUCUGAUUAGCUUGUUGGCGGGGUAACGGCCCACCAAGGCAACGAUCAGUAGGGGUUCUGAGAGGAAGGUCCCCCCACAUUUGGGAACUGAGACACGGUCCAAACUCCUACGGGAGGCAGCAGUGAGGAAUAUUGGUCAAUGGGGCGAGAGCCUGAACCAGCCAAGUAGCGUGCAGGAUGACGGCCCUAUGGGUUGUAAACUGCUUUUAUAAGGGAAUAAAGUGAGUCUCGUGAGACUUUUUGCAUGUACCUUAUGAAUAAGGACCGGCUAAUUCCGUGCCAGCAGCC
RNAcentral lists this ribosomal RNA (505 nucleotides) under uncultured bacterium. RNAcentral describes it as "bacterial SSU rRNA". It matches the Rfam family "Bacterial small subunit ribosomal RNA", at positions 28 to 516 of the family's 1533-position model. The record is from RNAcentral.